Long non-coding RNA from Grammomys surdaster, 1013 nucleotides. RefSeq lists it as uncharacterized. The transcript is spliced from 5 exons. NCBI's taxonomy places the organism in Eukaryota, Metazoa, Chordata, Mammalia, Rodentia, Muridae. The record is from RefSeq and is a predicted model, not a curated record.
AAUACCAACAAAAAGAUGAUCCAGGAAAUUGGCACUUCGGCCUAAACCAAGUACAUUGUAAGGUAGCUGAAGAGCUAAGUGUGCUGACUGGCUGAGCUGUCCAGCUAGAUUUAUGAAGACAAACAAACAAACAAACAAACAAACAAAUCUUUGGAAACACUGCAUUCAUCAAGUCUUAAAGUCCUAAGAUGUUAGAUACAGGUAGUGUCUGUGAGUUUCAACCUGUACUGUAGCACACAGUUGCUUUGCAUGCUAUGUCGACAAUAGGCAAGUCCUGAACUACAACAACACAAAGGAAUAAACCAGCAGUGUUACUGAGCAGUGUGAGAGGUCAUGAAAGCAGAAGCAGUCCCAAUAGGGGAAUCAUAUGGAGAGUGAUGGGGAGUACAACAGGAAGCUGCUCAGCGUGCCUCUGUAUUUGUGAGCAUAUCCUCCUUGUAACACAGUGUUAGAUGUUCAUUGUUGCAUUGUCUCCAUGUGUUGAAGAAGCACACACAGUAGAGGGCCAGCCAGCAUAGCUAUGGUAGCUCCACGACAAAAGCCCAGAAGAAAUCAGAGCCUCUUUGUGAACAGUGUUUCUCUGCAUGGCCCUGGCUAACAUGGAGCUCACUAUGCAAACUAAGCUGAUCUGGAACUCACAGGGAUCCCCCUGCCUGCUUUUGCCCCCUGAAUACUGAGAUUAAAGGCAUGUGCCAUCAUACCCAGCAUAAUGAAUUCUUACAUGUUUAUAGUAAGCUAAAAAAUAAACUCAUUGUAGUACAUUUAAUUUACAUAAGAGCAUUAUAUACUACAAAACUGUCCACUAACAUGGUCACAGGUUCUUUAUGGUUAUCACAGCAAGCCUGUUUAGACUACUUCGUGGGUAAGACUCUAGGAUUUCCGAGGAAGGAUAUUGUAUGAAGAUGCAUUCUUCGCACAGGCAGCUGGAUCUACUGUAAUCUGCCACUGGAUGGACACUGCACACGUCCUUAGUCAUUUUCCUUUUUGUCCUAACCGACUUUCGUCAUAAUGUU